This is a long non-coding RNA of Caretta caretta (loggerhead turtle), 2186 nucleotides long. RefSeq lists it as uncharacterized. NCBI's taxonomy places the organism in Eukaryota, Metazoa, Chordata, Testudines, Cheloniidae. The record is from RefSeq and is a predicted model, not a curated record.
GAGCGGCAGAGCGAGGGGCGAGACCCCGCCAUGGGGGGUUGGGGGAGAGCGAGGGGCGAGACCCCGCCAUAGGGGGGUUGGGGGGGGAGCGGCAGAGCGAGGGGCGAGACCCCGCCAUGGGGGGGUUGGUGGGGGGAGCGGCAGAGCGAGGGGCGCAGCUGGCCCAGGGUGCGACCCCGCCAUGGGGGGUUGGGAGGGGAGCGGCAGAGCGAGGGGCGCAGCCGGCCCGGGGCGAGACCCCGCCAUGGGGGGUUUGGGGGGGGAGCGGCAGAGCGAGGGGCGCAGCUGGCCUGGGGCGAGACCCCGUCAUGCGGCGGGGGGAGGGGCAGCAGAGGGAGGGGUGCAAGUAUGUUGCUUUGAGAUAACUUGACCUGUGGGGAAUGCAGAAAGUAGGCCUUACAGGCCACUGCUGUCCUGACCAGGACACUGGGACUGGAACAGGAGGCCCAUUUCCAUCUUUGGGGUUUCCUUCCACUGCCAUACUCAGGCAGGGCUUUCUGUAGGCCCAAGGUCCAGGCCAUUGCUCCUGCCGGACCCUUUCCUUUGCUGUAGCUGGGGAGGUGUAAGCGGGUGGUGCAGGCAGCAAUGGAGCAAUGUGGCAGACAGAAGGACAUGGCUGCUGGUGAUAGAAUGGAAGGAGCCACUCUCCCACAGCCUUGGUCCACACUAGGAGUUGAGGUCAAAUUUAGCAGCCUUAAAUCGAUUUAACCCUGCACCUGUCCACACAAUGAAGCCCUUUUUUUCGACUUAAAGGGCUCUUAAAAUCGAUUUCCUUACUCCACCCCCGACAAGGGGAUUAGCGCUGAAAUCGGCCUUGCCGGGUUGAAUUUGGGGUAUUGUGGACGCAAUUAGACGGUAUUGACCUCCAGGAGCUAUCCCAGAGUGCUCCAUUGUGACCGCUCUGGACAGCACUCUCAACACAGAUGCACUGGCCAGGUAGACAGGAAAAGGACCGCGAACUUUUGAAUUUCAAUUUCCUGUUUGGCCAGCAUGGCAAGCUGCAGGUGAGUGCGGAGCUCAUCAGCAGAGGUGACCAUGAUGGAGUCCCAGAAUCGCAAAAGAGCUCCAGCAUGGACUGAACGGGAGGUACGGGAUCUGAUCGCUGUAUGGGGAGAGGAAUCCGUGUUAUUAGAACUCCGUUCCAGUUUUCGAAAUGCCAAAACAUUUGUCAAAAUCUCCCAGGGCAUGAAGGACAGAGGCCAUAACAGGGACCCGAAGCAGUGCCGCGUGAAACUGAAGGAGCUGAGGCAAGCCUAACAGAAAACCAGAGAGUCAAACGGCUGCUCCGGGUCAGAGCCCCAAACAUGCUGCUUCUAUGAUGAGCUGCAUGCCAUUUUAGGGGGUUCAGCCACCACUACCCCAGCUGUGUUGUUUGAUUCCUUCAAUGGAGAUUGAGGCAACACGGAAGCAGGUUUUGGGGACAAGGAAGAUAGCUCACAGCAAGCACGCGGAGAAACCAGUUUUCCCGACAGCCAGGAACUGUUUCUCACCCUGGACCUGGAGCCAGUACCCCCCGAACCCACCCAAGGCUGCCUCCCGGACCUGCCAGGCAGAGAAGGGACCUCUGCUGCAUGUGUUUCAAGGAUCACAGGAUCUUCUCCUUCCCAGAGGCUGGUGAAGAUAAGAAGGUGAAAAAAAUGCACUUGCGAUGAAAUGUUCUCUGAGCUCAUGCUGUCCUCCCACACUGACAGAGCACAGACGAAUGCGUGGAGGCAGACAAUGUCAGAGUGCAGGAAAGCACAAAAUGACUGGGAGGAGAGGUGGCGGGCUGAAGAGAGUAAGUGGCAGGCUGAAGCUAAAAGGUGGCUGCAGUGUGAUGAGAGGAGGCAGGAUUCAAUGCUGAGGCUGCUGGAGGAUCAAACUAAUAUGCUCCAGCGUAUGGCUGAGCUGCAGGAAAGGCAGCAGGAGCACAGACUGCUGCUACAGCCCCUGUGUAACCAACCACCCUGCUCCCCAAGUUCCAUAGCCUCCUCACCUAGACGCCCAAGAACGCGGUGGGGGGGGCCUCUGGCCACCCAGCCACUCCACCCCAGAGGAUUGCCCAAGCAACAGAAGGCUGGCAUUCAAUAAGUUUUAAACUUUUAAAGUGCUGUGUGGCCUUGUCCUUCCCUCCUCCGCCACUCCUCCCGGGCUACCUUGGCAGUUAUCCCCCUAUUUGUGUGAUGAAUUAAUAAAGAAUGCAUGAA